Molecule: ribosomal RNA, 253 nt
Filed under: uncultured bacterium
Lineage: Bacteria
Description: partial 16S ribosomal RNA
Rfam family: Bacterial small subunit ribosomal RNA
Source: RNAcentral
UACGGAGGGUGCGAGCGUUGUCCGGAAUCACUGGGCGUAAAGGGCGCGUAGGUGGCUCGUGAAGCGUGCGGUGAAAGUCCGAGGCUCAACCCUGGAAAGCCGGUGGAAACUGUCGAGCUAGAGUCCGGAAGAGGCGAGUGGAAUUCCUGGUGUAGCGGUGAAAUGCGCAGAUAUCAGGAGGAACACCAAUGGCGAAGGCAGCUCGCUGGGACGGUACUGACGCUGAGACGCGAAAGCGUGGGGAGCAAACAGG